UGCAAUAUAUUUUAUAAUUCGAAAAUUUGAUCUUCAUGGACUUUCGGGGGCUCAAAGUUGGCGAUUUUGCCUAUUUUGAGCCUUUGGCCGCCAGCAUAAAAGUACUGGGGCGAGAAUGCCGGUGUGACGUCAAACCGGGAAGUCAUCAAAACAAAAUACAUAUGAUUUACUAUAGUUUCUUGACAAAAUCGAGUAUAAAUUAGAUGUUUCUGGAAAUUUCUUCGAUAUUUUGAUUGAAAUUUAAAUGGAACUAUAUCCUUAACCUUCGGUUAUCCAACUGACAGGCAGAUUGGGCGAGAUACUAAUUUUAUGGCUGAGUGUGCAGGUCAAACAAACACAUAUACGCUGAUGCUAUAUAUUCUUUCUCGGUUUCUUGAUUUUAUAUAUACAGAAAUAGAGACAAAACGGCAAGGAACUGUAGGCUGUUGUUAAACGUGAUCCAGUGGAAUAUAUUCGCUUUGCCCUCGGUUUUGUCAAUGCCAGCCAGAAUGGCGGAAAUUAUUGUGAACAAAACGCCUCGUCCACUGAUCAAUACAGAGUCAGAGCCAGAGGCGUUGGUUUGCUUGAAUUUCGACGUCAAAAUGUGUCGUAUAAAAUUGGCGAGAAGGUGAUUAAAUACGGUUUUUAUGUGAUUUAAUACUAAAAGAGAAACUCCCAAGGCAAACUGAACUUGUUCUAUUGUUACUGAUAGGUAUGCAAGAGAAAAUUGAUCUUUGAAUAAAGUCGCGA
This is a non-coding RNA of Paramuricea clavata, 729 nucleotides long. The record is from the annotation of a GenBank genome assembly. Lineage: Eukaryota; Metazoa; Cnidaria; Anthozoa; Malacalcyonacea; Plexauridae.